RNAcentral lists this small nucleolar RNA (89 nucleotides) under Ipomoea nil (Japanese morning glory). RNAcentral describes it as "small nucleolar RNA snoR114". It matches the Rfam family "small nucleolar RNA snoR114". Lineage: Eukaryota; Viridiplantae; Streptophyta; Magnoliopsida; Solanales; Convolvulaceae. The record is from Rfam by way of RNAcentral.
AAACAAUGAUGAAAGCUAUGCUCUUGUGGUGAUUGGGUUGCCACGGUUUGUCCGAUCUUAACCAAAUGAAUAACAGCGCCUCUGAGUUU